CAUCGCCCUUUUGUCAAAGGUUGAAACCCUAGAUUUUUUUCUAUUCUCAUCAUCACCGCUGACGAAACCAUAACCCAAUCAUAGCGAUUUUGCAGUUCUUUACUUCAAUCUUUAUGGAUCUACUCUUUUAACCAUGCUUGUCCCUAAGUUGUCUGCAAGCUCUGAAAUCUCGAACAACUAUGGUAGUUAAGAUUGAUUACAUGAAUCUUUACAACUUAUUUUGCUCCAAUUUAGAUGCGUGUCCAAUUGAGGUCUGUGUUGUUCCAAUAUUCAAUCUGUUGUUGGAAUUGAAGAAAUCAUUUGGUGAUCCUUUUGGCAUUUUGUCCAGUUGGAAAUCAAACAAUUCUAGCUAUUGUUCUUGGUAUGGAGUUUCAUGCAAUUAAAUUCAAGGGUUCCAAAACUGCUAAUUAGAGCUUCUGAAAUUUGCAGGAGGAUAUAUUAGAUGUUAUGAAAAGAUGUGUUUCCAUGGAGACAUCACCUAAGUUGCUCGGACUCUUUCAUUUCUAUGCCGCACCCUUGUUGACAAGACAUGGGUGUGGGUGUGGGAUCCAUACCAGAUAUAGUCAACCGAUUUUGGGUACUUAAACCAAAAUAGACAGAGAAAUUUGAGAUACAUAAAAUGAUUUUUGUAAUCUAAACAAAUGCUAAGGUGAAAUUGAAGAAAAUGUAAUACCUUGUAUAUAAAAAUUUCUACGUCAGCCCUUUUCCUUA
Molecule: long non-coding RNA, 711 nt
Organism: Lycium ferocissimum
Lineage: Eukaryota; Viridiplantae; Streptophyta; Magnoliopsida; Solanales; Solanaceae
Exons: 2
Source: RefSeq, a predicted model, not a curated record